UGGGGAAUAUUGGGCAAUGGGCGAAAGCCUGACCCAGCAACGCCGCGUGAAGGAAGAAGGUCUUCGGAUUGUAAACUUCUUUUAUCAGGGACGAAGUAAGUGACGGUACCUGAUGAAUAAGCCACGGCUAACUACGUGCCAGCAGCCGCGGUAAUACGUAGGUGGCAAGCGUUAUCCGGAUUUACUGGGUGUAAAGGGCGCGUAGGCGGGAAUGCAAGUCAGAUGUGAAAUCCAAGGGCUCAACCCUUGAACUGCAUUUGAAACUGUAUUUCUUGAGUGUCGGAGAGGUUGACGGAAUUCCUAGUGUAGCGGUGAAAUGCGUAGAUAUUAGGAGGAACACCAGUGGCGAAGGCGGUCAACUGGACGAUAACUGACGCUGAGGCGCGAAAGCGUGGGGAGCAAACAGGAUUAGAUACCCUGGUAGU
Molecule: ribosomal RNA, 425 nt
Filed under: uncultured Clostridium sp.
Lineage: Bacteria; Bacillati; Bacillota; Clostridia; Eubacteriales; Clostridiaceae
Description: bacterial SSU rRNA
Rfam family: Bacterial small subunit ribosomal RNA
Source: RNAcentral